RNAcentral lists this microRNA precursor (77 nucleotides) under Chrysemys picta bellii (western painted turtle). RNAcentral describes it as "Cpi-Let-7-P2b1_pre stem-loop". It matches the Rfam family "let-7 microRNA precursor family", at positions 7 to 78 of the family's 84-position model. From Rfam's summary of the family: This family represents the microRNAs (miRNA) let-7 and mir-98. let-7 was identified from a study of developmental timing in C. elegans, and was later shown to be part of a much larger class of non-coding RNAs termed miRNAs. The extents of the hairpin precursors are not generally known and are estimated based on hairpin prediction. RNAcentral also lists the same sequence under 3 other names. Lineage: Eukaryota; Metazoa; Chordata; Testudines; Emydidae. The record is from RNAcentral.
UGAGGUAGUAGAUUGUAUAGUUGUAGGGUAGUUAUUUUACCCUGUUCAGGAGAUAACUAUACAAUCUAUUGCCUUCC